RNAcentral lists this ribosomal RNA (205 nucleotides) under uncultured bacterium. RNAcentral's name for it is "partial 16S ribosomal RNA". It matches the Rfam family "Bacterial small subunit ribosomal RNA", at positions 28 to 234 of the family's 1533-position model. The record is from RNAcentral.
GACGAACGCUGGCGGCGUGCUUAACACAUGCAAGUCGAGCGGUAAGGCCCUUUCGGGGGUACACGAGCGGCGAACGGGUGAGUAACACGUGGGUGACCUGCCCUCAGCUCUGGGAUAAGCCUGGGAAACCGGGUCUAAUACCGGAUAUGACUCCAUGACGCAUGUUGUGGGGUGGAAAGCCUUGUGCGGCUGAGGAUGGGCCCGC